UACGUAGGGGGCAAGCGUUGUCCGGAUUUAUUGGGCGUAAAGAGCGUGCAGGCGGCCAGGUAGGUCAGCUGUGAAAACUCGAGGCUCAACCUCGAGACGUCGGUUGAAACCACCUGGCUAGAGUCCGGAAGAGGAGAGUGGAAUUCCUGGUGUAGCGGUGAAAUGCGCAGAUAUCAGGAAGAACACCCGUGGCGAAGGCGGCUCUCUGGGACGGUACUGACGCUGAGACGCGAAAGCGUGGGGAGCGAACAGG
This 253-nucleotide ribosomal RNA is filed under the name uncultured bacterium. RNAcentral's name for it is "partial 16S ribosomal RNA". It matches the Rfam family "Bacterial small subunit ribosomal RNA", at positions 524 to 776 of the family's 1533-position model. The record is from RNAcentral.